Molecule: ribosomal RNA, 176 nt
Filed under: Lelliottia nimipressuralis
Lineage: Bacteria; Pseudomonadati; Pseudomonadota; Gammaproteobacteria; Enterobacterales; Enterobacteriaceae
Description: partial 16S ribosomal RNA
Rfam family: Bacterial small subunit ribosomal RNA
Source: RNAcentral
CCAGCCACACUGGAACUGAGACACGGUCCAGACUCCUACGGGAGGCAGCAGUGGGGAAUAUUGCACAAUGGGCGCAAGCCUGAUGCAGCCAUGCCGCGUGUAUGAAGAAGGCCUUCGGGUUGUAAAGUACUUUCAGCGAGGAGGAAGGCAUUGUGGUUAAUAACCACAGUGAUGAC